This 940-nucleotide long non-coding RNA is filed under the name Linum usitatissimum (flax). RNAcentral describes it as "long non-coding RNA (LUSI_LNC002147)". The record is from RNAcentral. Lineage: Eukaryota; Viridiplantae; Streptophyta; Magnoliopsida; Malpighiales; Linaceae.
AUCACAUGAACUAGCAGCCUGUUCCAGCUAACACUCUCCUAAAUGCAAGGGUUGCUUGCCCAUGUCAACUUCAUCAAACCUAACCAAGAUAUCAUUCAUUCUGCAGAUCAAAGGCAUUGCAACAGAGACUCUUGCAGUAGUAGUCUACUAGUGUGAAAGUAUCCACAACGAACCGGAAUCUAAUCAUCGAAAAAAGGAUGGCCAAAGCAUCUAAUUCCAGAAGCAUAAUGGACCAGAGAAUAAAAGAAACCAACCAAAAGAAAUUGCAAGUUCAUCAGCCAAUCCUUUCAUUACCCUUAACAGUAUUCGGAAUACCAAUAGUCGCAAGUGAUCUAUAUCUAGACACAUUGCAGACGUAAAACUUGGUCUAGCACAUCAAACACAUGCAACUUUUACAUGACAAGUGCGCUAUAACCAUAAUCUCACUACAUCAUGCUGCAGAAAGUGAAAGGUGAUAUACAUAUCAAACAUAUGAUUUAUAAACAUAAAGGGGACAGCUGCAAACAAGUACUGGUAAAUCACUUUCCCCUGCCCGGUAAGGACGAGGGGAAAAAGUUUAGCCCGAAUAGCAUAAACAACAAGUUGACCCCUUUCACCAUCACCAGCUAGCGAACGAUAUAUUUCUCUAGUUUCUCUGGUACACAGGCCACCAGCUAUUGGUUUUCAUUCAUUCAAUCAAUAAACAAUCACAGAGCAAAUUGAUUUAGAGAAUAUGAUACCUCAAGCUCUCAGGGAAAAAACCAUGGCGGAAUGAACUAAUACCAGAAGAGAAAGCUACUGAACAAUGAAUAUGGCUGCGACUGGUUAGCAGAUUUCCAAUCAACAAUUCAACAAUAGGUGGAAACAUCUACCCAUCUUGUUUUUUCCUCAUUUUUUUCUUAUUGUUCAGAGCCAAGAACAAUAAAAAUAGAAUACAUUACAAAUGGCCUGAGUAAAUCAU